Molecule: ribosomal RNA, 495 nt
Filed under: uncultured bacterium
Lineage: Bacteria
Description: partial 16S ribosomal RNA
Rfam family: Bacterial small subunit ribosomal RNA
Source: RNAcentral
GACGAACGCUGGCGGCGUGCCUAAUACAUGCAAGUAGAACGCUGAAGGAGGAGCUUGCUUCUCCGGAUGAGUUGCGAACGGGUGAGUAACGCGUAGGUAACCUGCCUGGUAGCGGGGGAUAACUAUUGGAAACGAUAGCUAAUACCGCAUAACAGUAGAUGUUGCAUGACAUUUGCUUAAAAGGUGCAAUUGCAUCACUACCAGAUGGACCUGCGUUGUAUUAGCUAGUUGGGGAGGUAACGGCUCACCAAGGCGACGAUACAUAGCCGACCUGAGAAGGUGAACGGCCCACAUGGGACUGGGACACGGCCCAGACUCCUACGGGAGGCAGCAGUAGGGAAUCUUCGGCAAUGGACGGAAGUCUGACCGAGCAACGCCGCGGGAGGGAAGAAGGGUUUCGGAUCGUAAAGCUCUGUUGUAAGAGAAGAACGAGUGUGAGAGUGGAAAGUUCACACUGUGACGGUAUCUUACCAGAAAGGGACGGCUAACUACGUG